GACGAACGCUGGCGGCGCGCUUAACACAUGCAAGUCGAACGGAAAGGCCUGCUUUCCCUUGUGGAUUGCGGGUACUCGAGUGGCGAACGGGUGAGUAACACGUGAGUGAUCUGCCCCCAACUUGGGUAUAAGCCUGGGAAACUGGGUCUAAUUCCCGAUAGGACUGCAGGGUGGUGCCUGUGGUGGAAAACGAUUUUCUAGUGGUUGGGGAUGAGCUCGCGGCCUAUCAGCUUGUUGGUGGGGUAAUGGCCUACCAAGGCGGCGACGGGUAGCCGGCCUGGGAGGGUGGACGGCCGCAUUGGGACUGGGAUACGGCCCAGACUGGUACGGGCGGCAGCAGAGGGGAAUAUUGCGCAAUGGGCGGAAGCCUGAUGCAGCGACGCCGCGUGGGGGAUGACGGCCUUCGGGUGGUAAACUCCUUUCGACCGCGAGGAAGCCACCUGGUUGGAAGGGUGGUGACGGUAGUGGUAGAAGAAGCACCGGCUAACUACGUG
This 494-nucleotide ribosomal RNA is filed under the name uncultured bacterium. RNAcentral's name for it is "partial 16S ribosomal RNA". It matches the Rfam family "Bacterial small subunit ribosomal RNA", at positions 28 to 507 of the family's 1533-position model. The record is from RNAcentral.